UGGGGAAUAUUGGACAAUGGGGGAAACCCUGAUCCAGCAAUGCCGCGUGUGUGAAGAAGGCCUUAGGGUUGUAAAGCACUUUCAGUGGGGAGGAAGGAUGAGAUAUUAAUACCAUUUCAUUUUGACGUUACCCACAGAAGAAGCACCGGCUAACUCUGUGCCAGCAGCCGCGGUAAUACAGAGGGUGCGAGCGUUAAUCGGAAUUACUGGGCGUAAAGGGUGUGUAGGUGGUUGGGUAAGUUAGAUGUGAAAUCCCCGGGCUUAACCUGGGAACUGCGUUUAAAACUGCUCGACUAGAGUAUUGCAGAGGGUAGUGGAAUUUCCAGUGUAGCGGUGAAAUGCGUAGAUAUUGGAAGGAACACCAGUGGCGAAGGCGACUACCUGGGCAAAUACUGACACUGAGACACGAAAGCAUGGGGAGCAAACAGG
This 429-nucleotide ribosomal RNA is filed under the name uncultured bacterium. Its description in RNAcentral is "bacterial SSU rRNA". It matches the Rfam family "Bacterial small subunit ribosomal RNA", at positions 355 to 776 of the family's 1533-position model. The record is from RNAcentral.